Molecule: non-coding RNA, 2825 nt
Organism: Salvia hispanica
Lineage: Eukaryota; Viridiplantae; Streptophyta; Magnoliopsida; Lamiales; Lamiaceae
Source: RefSeq, a predicted model, not a curated record
UUGCUUAUCUGUUGGGAAUUCGUAUUCAUCUGUAUUCAAUUGGGAUGAACAAUUGGAUGGUUGAUUGUUUUCGAAUUAGCAGUAGGGUCCAUAAUUUGUUGGCAUUGUGGUAUAAGAUCUUGAUUGCGCCUCAUAAAUGCAGAAAAGAAUUCUUUUUUCUCUGUUCUUCCAGUUUAUUAGUAGUUGAUAGCUGCAAAUAUCUUGAAGAUAUGGGAGGCCUAUCUAUCAGUGAUGCUAAAUUGAGUCAUGGACUUAGACUUCGACAAGUACUGUCUUCUAGAUGGUAGUCCCACAACCGUGCUACCAGUUCCUAGGCCUCGUUCGUGUGGGGUGAGUAGAAAACCAAGUGGAAAGCCCGGAUUUGGAAAUGAGACACCAAGCCUCACUGGAGAGUUUGAGACUGAUUUUGGUGACUGCUAUAGUGGGUCCUGUAGAGAUGUCUUGUUCCAGGGUAUUAGUCGAGAAGGUGGUGAAGUACUGAAGAGAGAAUCGGUGUAUCAAAGUUCCAGAGAGACUAGUCUGGUUCAGGAAAGGGGUGCUGCUGUUGGGAGGAAGAAGAUUGAGUUCUCUCCACGAACUGCAUCCGCAUUCCCAAUAGGAAUCAUUGAUUCAUUGUGCAAUUCGGAUGAAGAUAGCUCUGUGAUGUCUUUCUCAGAACAAAGUACGGCUUCUGGUUAUGGAAAUGGCAUAUGUGAUGAUUCUUCCAUCACUCUGGAGUUCGAUGCUGCUGCUACAGAAGAAGCUAGUAGUCUUCAAGCAAAAGAUCUAUCUUUCAGUUUGGCCAGGUCGUUAUCUGCAAGAUUUGGUUCGCCCCAUUCACUUGCCAAUACGGGGCGUGAUAGCUCAAGAUCCAGCAGCAGUUUGAGGGGCAGGUUUAGUCAUGUUAAGAAUAUGCUCGACCCUUUUGUUAAGUCCAUGUCUCGCAGAAGUCCAUUGAGUAAUUACAAUGACUUACAUGGAGAAGUAACGAGUGGUAGAUCAACGUUGAGUGGCAUAUUAGAGAAGCCACACCAUGUGGAACACAAUCAUCAAUACGAGGAGAAAGAAAACCAUAAUUCAGCCCCACAGUGUUCUCCAGCACACCUACACGGCCUUCUCAAGACGGGAAGUAAGCACGGAACGCCCUUUUUCCAGUUUUCAGUUAAGUCCCCCGAAGAUGUUUAUGUGGCAAAGAUAUGGAAAGUUGGAAAUGCUUCAACUUGGGUUUACACUUUUCAUAUGCUUCCUAAUAAAAGAAAGCGUGGUACUAGUGGAUGGGGGCUUAAGGAAUGCAACAGAGAAUCAUCUAUGGUUGGAUGGAUGCAUGUUUCAUGUCGCCUGCAUACAGAGUUUGCAGGUGCAGGGGAAUCGAACGAUUCCAUGAUGACAGAGUUUGUGUUAUACGAUGUUUUACAUUCAAGGAAAAGCACUGGUUGCACUGGUCAAUUUGUGUCCUCUGCAGCAGCUACAUUACCCCCGGAGCUAGAAAUUGCAGCCAUUGUUAUGCAGGUCCCAUUGGAGAAGAGAGAGAGCCUCAAAUUUAAGAGUGGAGAUAAGAAGAUUGAUACGACGACUCCCUACUUGCUAGAUCACUGUCGGCUUGGAAAAGCAAAAGAAGGCGUUUCUGAUACUUCAAGUCCGGGAAAUAUGCACGUAGUGAUACCAGCUGGAAACCACAGUUUGCCUGCCAAUGGAAGUUGUGGCCCUUCACCAUUACUCGAUAGGUGGAGGUUGGGUGGCGGAUGUGACUGUGGUGGCUGGGACAUGACCUGCCCUCUCAGUGUUUUCACAAACAAGAUUGCAGAGGAGCAUCAGACUGAGCUCUUUGUUCAGGGAAGAAAAGACAAUACACCGGCAUUUUCCAUGAGGGUGAUUGAGGGUGGGAAAUACACAGUCGAUUUUCAUGCUCAAUUAUCAUCCCUGCAAGCAUUCUCCAUCUGUGUUGCCACUCUGCACGCUACUGAGGCCUCUCCCUCUGGACGUGAGAGGAGAGAACCAUCACUUCAAUGUGAUGCGCUCAAGGUAUCCACCGAGGAGGAAAUCAAGAGCAUGGUCGAAGCAAUAGCAGAGCUAGAGAAGUCCAAAGUCAAGAAGAUGGAACAAGUUGUGCCAUCUUUUGUACUCAACCCACCAUUCUCUCCAAUAGCUCGAGUGUAGGCUUCCAAACGAGCAAUGACGACUGAGAAAAAAAGACAGAGUGGAGAUCUCAUCUCCAAGGAAGCGGAAAUCCUUGAGGGCAAGCUUGAAGAUAGAGAUGGUUUUGUUUGUGAUAUAUCACUGCAUUCUUUGAUGGUAUAGUCAGCAGCCUUUCUUGGUGGCCAAACUUGAAGAUAAGACUACACACAUUAGGAGUAGUGGUCGAAGAGAAGUGUGUAACUUUGAGGUGUUCAUUCUUGGUGGUAGAGUUGGAGAUGUUUUAUUAGUAUUUUAGUAUUAUUAAUGUAUUUCACAUGUAUAAAGUUAUAGGGGUAGUGUACAUGUAGAAUGUAUUGUAGUACAAGAUGAGAUAUAUACAAAAGUAGAACCGACUGCCCUUUGGUGAGUAAAAAAUGCUCCUUCUCUACGGGCAUUGUAAUCGGAGCUGGACUUCCCGUGCAUGGUGAGAUCGGAGAAGAAGACGGGAGACGGAAGGGGCGUGUGCAUCCAAGUUUUUGUUCGGCAUCUAUUUUGUUGCAAAUGUUUAUUGUUAGUUUGUGUAGAAAAGAUUGGGAGAAGGUUUCAUAUAUUUUCUUGAUAUAAUCACACAAUAUGUUACAUUGUUAUAUAGGCAUAGAAUAUGCAUAUAUGGUAAACCUAGAUUAUGGGGAUCCUAUUCUAUCUUUGGUAACAGAUCAAUUUACAAUUAA